AAUUUUUUUUUUUUUUUUUUUUUUUUUUUUUUUUUUUUUUUUUUUUUAUAUAUGUUAGGGAGUAUAAGGAUUAUUAUAGUAGGGUGUAGUUUGUAGUAUUGAAUGUUUUUUUUUUUUUUUUUCUGUAAUGUGUUGAUUUCCACCGUAGAUUUUCUCACUAUUCGUGUAUAUGUCCCCACUCUUUCUAGUGUUUUAUGUGUGUGUUUAUAUAGGGAGUGUGUAUGUGUGCAGUGCAGACGUUAGGUUUAGUGCAUGUGUAUUCGUGUAGUGGGGAAGUUAGGUUUGGGGGAUGAUAGGAAAGUUAGGGAAAUGUUGGAGGUAAUGGGAAAGUUAGGGGAAUGUUGGAGGUAAUGGGAAAGUUAGGGGAAUGUUGGAGGUAAUGGGAAAGUUAGGUUUAUUUUUUUAUUUUUUUAAAUAUUUUAAAUAAAAUAAAAAUAAUAAAAUCUAUUUGAAAUUAACAAAAUACAAAUAAGUUAAAUAGCUAGUCUUAGAAAUAUGAUUAAAAAUUAUUAAUAUCACUAGAUUCUUUAUUAAAAGUUAAAAAUAAAAAACAAAUAAAUUUAGAAUUUUUUUUUAUAAAUAAAUAAACAAAUAAUAAUAAAAAUAAAAGAUUAUUAAAAUGUGGCUCUAUUUUUUAUAGUUUUCAAAACUUUUAACAAACCAUGUAAAAUAAGAUAAACUUAAAAUAUCUAAUUUAGACCUAAAAGAAAAUAAAACACUAAAAUGAUAUAAAAAUGUUAGAUUUGGUCAAAAAUUAGGUGUUUGCAGAAUGUCCCUCUUUGCUUGGUAAUAUGAAGAAUUUUCAAGCAAAGAAGUAAACAUGACUAAUUUUUUGCGUAACCAUUUAUUUAAAAGUAAUAUGUAAGUGAGUAGAAAAGAGGUGUGAUCGAGCCCUUAUUUUGGGCAUCCUACAUAUUUCGGGUUAUAGAAUCAGG
RNAcentral lists this long non-coding RNA (935 nucleotides) under Capsicum annuum. Its description in RNAcentral is "long non-coding RNA (CANN_LNC019946)". The record is from RNAcentral. Lineage: Eukaryota; Viridiplantae; Streptophyta; Magnoliopsida; Solanales; Solanaceae.